Molecule: long non-coding RNA, 403 nt
Organism: Herpailurus yagouaroundi (jaguarundi)
Lineage: Eukaryota; Metazoa; Chordata; Mammalia; Carnivora; Felidae
Exons: 3
Source: RefSeq, a predicted model, not a curated record
GGGAGGCUCGGCUUUCUAACAGCGGGCCCUCCUCGCUCACAGCCCGGAGUGGUCCAGAGCUGAGCAAAGAAGAUCUGACGAAUCAGACAGCACAGGAGGAGGGCCGAAUAGGUGGCUGUUCUGAUCCUGUGACCUCCAUUCCCUUCUUCUCCUGUUUUCAGUGGGCUCUCAAUGUUUUUGGUUCCUGCCCUCCGACAUGGAAUUGAGACACACCCUCCUCCGAGAACCUUUCCGAAUCUCAGCAGAAUUCAUUUUUCUUGCCUCGGCGCGCCGAUGGUUUGCUGAUGUGUUAUAAUAGCUUUCUAAGCUGCUUAAACACUACCACAGAGUCCGUAGCUUCAAACUCUACACGUUUAGGGGCGCCUGGGGGGCUCAGUCGUUAAGCAUCUGACUUCGGCUCAGG